UAUAGGAUUUCGAAAUGUUUGACCAGACAAUAUUAAUCAGUUUGUUAAUUAGUGUAAGCUUGCCCCUUAAAAACUAUCUUUGUCAAACUAGCUUGCUAGCUAACGUAUCUAUCUAGCUAACAAGAGAUGCUCCUCAAUAGAGUAAUCUAUCGAAUAGGAUGACCUUGUGUGAUUGACGUAUCAAUAUCGAAAUUGUGGUAAAUAUGGAAGGUACAUAUUACGGUUCUGGUUAAUUCUGUUUGUAGCAAACUAACUUUAUUGAAUAAAAAGUGUUGUGCUUGACCGGGUUCGCUAGCUAAUAUUAACGAUAUGCUGUCCCUGCAGCAAUGAGCAGAAAACGAACACGUGAAGUCACUCGACUCGAGCAGCGGGAGCGAGCAACAGCACACCGUUGACCUCCUCACCAAACCUAGAGUGUGUUAAGAAGGUAACCGUUCCCAGCUGUGCACCCUCCCUUUGUGCAGACCAUGCACGAUACGAGGGCACUGGGUGAGGAACACCAAAGGAGUUAUAUUGAGAUGUGGCCGCCCUGGAAGCUUUCAAGAAUGGGAAGUCCAUGAAAGCGGCAUUUGAUGCUGUUGGGGUGGAUCGCAACACGGUGGCUGUUGUGGCUGUGCAUUAACAUUUCAUGCCUCACAUAAUUAAUAACUUGUCUACAGCACGUUUGUUGUUUGCUGUUUGCUGUUUUUUUUUCUCACACCCUAUCAAUGCUCUGCGCAAUGUUCAGCAAGUGCUGAAUUACAAAUAAAAGGGUUUUCAUCUGUAUCCUGUUGUAUUUACUGUCAGAGCACUCAUUUGUUUUAACAAGUUCAUAAUGUCUUAUCUUAUAAUAAUCUUAUAUCUGUUCAUAACAACACUACCCUUUUGUCACUUUACUUAAAGCUGACAAAGUCCACUUAUAGAAUCUUAUAUCUGUUCAUAACAACACUACCCUUUUGUCACUUUACUUAAAGCUGACAAAGUCCACUUAUAGAAUCAUAUGGCAGUUUAUAAUAUUCUAUGUCUGUA
Clupea harengus (Atlantic herring) is the source of this 1008-nucleotide long non-coding RNA. RefSeq lists it as uncharacterized. The record is from RefSeq and is a predicted model, not a curated record. The transcript has 3 exons. NCBI's taxonomy places the organism in Eukaryota, Metazoa, Chordata, Actinopteri, Clupeiformes, Clupeidae.